Long non-coding RNA from Equus quagga, 582 nucleotides. RefSeq lists it as uncharacterized. The record is from RefSeq and is a predicted model, not a curated record. The transcript has 3 exons. NCBI's taxonomy places the organism in Eukaryota, Metazoa, Chordata, Mammalia, Perissodactyla, Equidae.
CCCGCCCCUUCCCGGACUCCCCAGCCGAGGCGAGGGGCGGGGGCGCUGGGGACCCCGAGAGAGGGCGUAGGGGAUUGACGGAGGAACGCUGAGAUCUCCAGCAUUCCCGGACUCGGACUGCUUGCUGAGGCUGCAGUCGAGAUUUGGGGCUGUCUCGUCUUUCCGGGCUUGAACGUAAAAUUCUCGCCCAUGGCGCAGUGGAAAGCUUUGAAGUCCGAGGUUGUGGGAUCAGAGUUGCCCCCUCGGGGGAUAAGUGACCUUGGAAAGGUCACUUCCCUUUACCCAGCCUGGCUGAAUAUGAAGGCAGCUCAGACCGAGAAGACUGGUGCCCACCGCUCGCCUCCGGGCAUCCCUCCUGGCGGAGUUGGGAAGUCUGGGAUCCUUCGCCUGUCUCUCUGAUCGUGCGGAGCCAUAGCUGCAGAAGCAGCAGCUCUGCCCCCUGCUGGACACGUGAGGCAGCGCGCACUUUUCCUGUUCCAGAUGCAGCGCCCUGGUGGUGCUGGGGGAAGAGAUUUUUUGACUCACUCUGAUGGAAACAGCAAAACUGGGCGGAAUAAAAAUCCCAGGUUUUUUUUCUCUCUA